UAAGGAAUAUUGGACAAUGGUCGCAAGACUGAUCCAGCCAUGCCGCGUGCAGGAUGACUGCCCUAUGGGUUGUAAACUGCUUUUGUACGGGAAUAAACCCGGGUACGUGUACCCGGCUGAAUGUACCGUAAGAAUAAGGGUCGGCUAACUUCGUGCCAGCAGCCGCGGUAAGACGAAGGACCCAAGCGUUAUCCGGAUUCAUUGGGUUUAAAGGGUGCGUAGGCGGGUUGAUAAGUCAGUGGUGAAAGCCCAACGCUUAACGUUGGAACUGCCAUUGAUACUGUCGAUCUUGAAUGUGUUUGAUGUGGGCGGAAUAUGACAUGUAGCGGUGAAAUGCUUAGAUAUGUCAUAGAACACCGAUUGCGAAGGCAGCUCACAAAGCCACUAUUGACGCUGAGGCACGAAAGCGUGGGGAUCAAACAG
This 423-nucleotide ribosomal RNA is filed under the name uncultured bacterium. RNAcentral's name for it is "bacterial SSU rRNA". It matches the Rfam family "Bacterial small subunit ribosomal RNA", at positions 355 to 775 of the family's 1533-position model. The record is from RNAcentral.